RNAcentral lists this long non-coding RNA (617 nucleotides) under Homo sapiens (human). RNAcentral describes it as "non-protein coding LINC02320:22". Lineage: Eukaryota; Metazoa; Chordata; Mammalia; Primates; Hominidae. The record is from RNAcentral.
CAUAGCUUCCAAGUGAGUGUUGUGCAAACAUUUGCUAGGAUCUCUCGGGGAGCCUGUUAGAAAAGAAACUCCUGAGCCUGCUCCAGAGCUUCUGUUCAGCAGGCCUGAGGUGGGACCAUACACCUGUCUUUUCAGCAAGCCCCCCCCCACCUCUGAGGAUGCACCCCAAAGCUAGAGAAUUCCUGCUCUGAGCCAUCUCUGAAAGCACCAAGAGCCAGCUCACGGAGGAGAUGCCAGCUCACGGAGGAAAAUCUGGAAGGUGUUGAAGCAUAGACGCUGGAACAUAAAAUGACUCAUGAUCUCACUGGGAGAAGGGCUGGGAACAUCGUGGGCUCUCUUCUCCCCGCGCUCCUCUCUCCGGGUCUCUGUUUCCCUCAUUCCACGAUGUUUAGAACCAUCGGCGCACUACAUCAGACUAGAGGUCUGGGGUCACCCGACCAUCCCGCCACAAGCCCCUCCGAGGCAUCACUGUGUCCAGAUUUUGCAAACUGCACCUCCUGAAGGGGCUGGGGUCUGUCCACUUCGCCCCAUCUGCCGUGGCAGCACUUCCUCCGUGGUUCGCACCCCCACAGCAGCCUCCUGGGAAGGCACCUCCCUGGGGCCCCUCUCAGUCCACG